AUGCUUUUUUUUUUUUUUAAAGAUUUAUUUAUUUAUUUUAAAGACAGAAUUACAGAAAGAGGUAGAGACAGAGAGAGAGAGAGAGGUCUUCCAUCUGCUGGUUCACUCCCCAAUUGGCCACCAUGGCCGAAGUUGCACCGAUCCAAAGCCAGGAGCCAGGAGCUUCUUCUGGGUCUUCCAUGUGGGUGCAGGGGUCCGAGGACUUGGGCCAUCUUCUACUGCUAUCCCAGGCCACAGCAGAGAGCUGAAUUGGAAGUAGAGCAACCAGGACUGGAACCAGCACCCAUAUGGGAUGCCAGCACUGCAGGUGGCGGCUUAACCCAUUACGCCACAGCGCCGGCCCCCAUUCUGAUACAUUUUAAAAAAUAUUUAUUUAUUUAUUUGAAAAUCAGAGUUACAGAGAGGGAGAGGCAGAGGGAAAGAGGGCGGGAGGAAGAGAGAGAGAGAGAGAGAGAGAGAGAGAGAAUCUUGUAUCCACUGUUUCACUCCUCAGAUAGCUGCAAUGGCCAGGGCUGGACCAGACUGAAGCCAGGAGCUUCUUCUAUGUCUCCCACAUGGGUGACAGGGACCCAAACACCUGGGCCACCUUCCAUGCCUUUUCCUAGGCCAUUCGCUGGGAGCUGGAUUGGAAGUGGAGCAGCCGGGACACAAACCGGUCCCAUAUGGGAUGCCCCCUACACCACAAGCAGAGAAACAGGAGCUGCCUCUCUCAUCAGAGGUCUUACCCGAGCCUCUCCCAUUGGCCUGUACCCACAACAUGCAAGAGAGACAAGCAGACAAGCGGGGCUCCAGUUCCAUCUGCUGAGGGGCUGAGCAGGUGUAAGUGUCCAGCAGCCAGCCUUUGUCACAGCUUUCCUCUGUGUCCACCUGGAAGGGAAGAGCUCAAGAACUUAAAGAAAUCAUCUGCCCUUCUUUCCUCUUGCUGUGAGUUCUUAGCCACAGACUGUGCUAGGGAAUGCAAGCUCUGCAAAGCUUCUGGCUGUUCUCUGCAACCCCAGGAGACGGGAAACACUAGCUCCUGGCACUACUCUCAUUACCCUCUUUUGUUCCUUCUCCUAUGCGAAGGAUAUGCAAAUAUUUGAAAAUGCACGUCUUGGGUAAAUGAAAUAGUGUGUCCUUAUUCAGAGAGCUUUAAGCUUAGUUUUGGUUUCUGUUGAGUUUAGUAAUUUUACUGGAGUAACGUGUGUGCUUUGAAAUGGGGUCUGACUGCUCAUAAAAAAGAAAAGCUUUUGUAGUCACUUGUUGUUUCCUCAGGAUCUCUAAAGGCACCAAAAGAUAUUUUAGAUAGAUUCACUGUUUCUCCUUUUCGAGAAUCCUGAAAUAUUUCAUCAUGUAUGUAUAGGGUCUUUGUUUCCACAUCUUAAUUUUUUUUUAUAUUUGUUUUCAUCUACUUGAAAGGUUGAGCAAUGGAGAGAGUGGGAGAGGGAGAGGGAAGGAGACAGAGAGAUUGAGAGAGAGAGAGAGAGAGAGAGAGAGAAUCUUUCAUCCACUGCUUCACUCUGUAAAUGCCUACCACACUCAGGGCUGGGGCAAACUGAAGCCAGGAUCUCAGAUCUCCUUCCAGGUCCCCCAUAUGGGUGACAGGAACCCGAGCGCUUGGGCCAUCAUCUGCUGCCUCCCAGGACACAGUCACAGAAAGCUGGUGUGGAUGCGGAGGAGCUGGGGUGGGCUGCAAAUGAUGCUCAGAUAUGUGAUGUAGGCAUCCCAAAAGACAGCUUAACUUGCUGCACUGCAUCUGCCUUGCUUUAACCUUCAACUGUUCCAAAUGCGCUUAAAAGAAGCAAUUCUUUUAUUUUCUGCCAUCCUUACAAUGGGAUUUUUUUUCACUGGCAUUGUGCAGUAGUCCACUUCUGGAUCCUCCACCAGGCAUGGAAAGCUCGGGCACAAGCACCCCAUGAUUCUUUUCAUUUAUGUAUUUAUCUGAAAGGCAGAAUGACAGAGAGGAAGGGAGGAAGGUGAGGAGGGAGAGAGAGUGUGCUCUUCCAUCCACCAGGUGCCGGGAGCUCCUUCCAGGUCUCCCACAUCGGGGGACAGGAGCCCAAGUACCGGGGCCAUCUUCUGCUUCCUUCCCAGGUACAUCAGCAGGGAGCUAAAGCAGAAGCAGAGGAGCCGGGAAUUGGACUGGAGCUCUGGGGGUUGCGGGAUGGAGGGUGCAGGCUGCUCAAGUGGUGGCUUCUCUACACCACAGCACCCACCCCACCCCCCACCCCUCCAAGGUGAUUCUUGGUCGCUUCUGAGCAUCUCACCUAAAGCCAGCUCACAUUUGCCAUUGAGCAAAUUACAGAUCAAAUAAUUCGCUGCACCUGGCCACGCUCUUGCAGGCUCACCUGUGCUAAUUUCAGGAUUCAGACAUUGGGUAAGACUGUGGGAUGAGCCUGAUCCAGGCGGUGUCUGGGGCACAACAAACCGUGUAGGAGAUUUGUGUGCACUUGUGUGGCCCAGAUACAGAGCCCCGGCCUGAGAGGGAGGGCUCAUUUGGGCUACAGCUCAGUAGCUGUCUACAGGUAAAACAUACCCAGUCAGACAAGGCCCCUAUGGUCAUUUUUUUUUCUUUCUCAUAUUGUCUUGAAUGUGUAUAUCUGCGAUUUCCACCACAGGCCUCCUAAGCAUAUUGUUCAUAAAGCGAACUUUAAAAGGCACUUUGACAAUUUCGUCUGCUAUUUUCAACUGAGAAAUAAUACCCCAAAGAUCAGUGACGGAAUCACAAAUAGAUUUUAUUAGUUUAAAAAAGAGGGGUGGGGAUCUGGCACUGUGGCAUAGCAGGUAAAGCUGCCACCUGUGACACUGGCAUCCCAUAUGGGCGCUGGCUGGAGUCCGGGCUGCUCCACUCCCAAUCCAGCUCCCUGCUAGUUCAGUUGGGAAAGCAACGGAAGAUGGUCCAAGUUCUUGGGUCCCUGCACCCAUAGGAGAGACAUGGAAGAAGCUCCAGACUCCUGCCUUCAGCCUGGCCCAGCUAGGCUGUUGUGGCCAUCUGGGGAAUGAACCAGUGGAUGGAAGACCUCUCUCUCUCUCUCUCCCUCUCUUGCUCUCUCCCCUUUUCCCUCCUCUAUUUCUGUCACCUUGCCUUUCAAAUAAAUAAAUAAUAUUUAAAAAAGAAAACCCA
Molecule: long non-coding RNA, 3103 nt
Filed under: Oryctolagus cuniculus (rabbit)
Lineage: Eukaryota; Metazoa; Chordata; Mammalia; Lagomorpha; Leporidae
Description: lncRNA (ENSOCUG00000038114.1)
Source: RNAcentral